ACGAACUUAACAUUUUGUCUAAAAAGUCCAACAAAGUUCCAAACCGUACAAAAAAUCCCAAUUUUGUUUUGUUUAAGUUCGUUGGGUUUUUUUUGAACAGUCAAAACAUGAUUGUAUUUUUUUAAACGUUUUGGAAACUUCGUUGGCCUAACAAGUCACUUUUCCAAUACGGUAAUAAGUCACGUCAUCUGUUUCUCUUAUUUGACUUUCAGGAAAGUGUAACUUCGUUGGGCUUUUUAGACAAAAUGUUAAGUUUGUUGGGUUUUUUUGAACAGACAAAACAUGAUUGGGGUUUCUUGAACGGUUUGAAAACUUCAUUGGGCUUUUAAGUCAUUUUCCCAUACAUGAAUUAUUUAGCUUUUCACUUUAGUUUUUUAAAAAGAAAUCAAAAAACUUCUUCAGAUGGAUGCUCUUGAUGAAAUGAGGUAAAUUUUGGUUUAUAUUUUCUUGAUGCACUAUUUUUUUAUAUAGUUUAUAAUCUUGGUCUAACAAAGUUUCAAUUCCCUAGGAUAAUUGACCGAAUGGAGCUCUAGGCAUGGUGACCCAUGUGGAGAGAUCUAGAAAUGAGUUUACCUGUUUAGGUUCAAGAGUCACAAAGAUUUACGUUGCAUUCCUCUUGGAUAUUGGAAUGUUUCAAAUCUUUUAACAUGUUCUUUUUUUGGUUCUUCCAGCAGCUUAUUUUGCCACAGGGUACGAGAUCAUAUGUUGAUCCUUCUUCCUCUGCAGUCAAGCUCCUUCUACUUGAGCUUCUUUUUGCUGAUAGUCUUCUUAGUUUACCUACAUCGAUGAGGAUAGAUCAUAUUGUAUUUUUCUGAAGAUAUGAGUACAUAGAUUAGUUAUACAAAGGUAAAUUUGGAACAUGAAACAUGUUUCCUAUAGAAAAUGAUUAGGUUCCGAAAAGAAGGUCGUGUUUACAACCGUAAUUUAUUUUCGAGCUUUAACUAAUGAUUUGUAUAUGAUUGAAUCAGGGUCGGAAGAGAAUGGUUCGUUUCACAGGUAUGGGAAUGGAAAAACUCCAUGAAUGACCAGAAAGGAAAGCACAUAAGAUCUUGGAACUUUGUUGUGUUUUUUCUUAAUUUGAGAAUUAAUUUGAGGUUAUUCCGUAGGUUUUAAAUUUGUAAAGGAUAGUUUGGUCAUUAUUGCAAAAUACACGAAUUUGGGUCUGUAUAAAUUCAGGAUUAUGUUGAAUUGUUGGAGUUUCCUUAGUGAUGUUAAAAAACGAUUUUUUGAAAGUUCAAAUGUGGUUGAAAAGGUUUUAGAAUUAGAUUGAUAAGUAUACUUUGG
RNAcentral lists this long non-coding RNA (1284 nucleotides) under Lactuca sativa (garden lettuce). Its description in RNAcentral is "long non-coding RNA (LSAT_LNC009113)". Lineage: Eukaryota; Viridiplantae; Streptophyta; Magnoliopsida; Asterales; Asteraceae. The record is from RNAcentral.